CCGGGUGCUUAUACCGGCGGGGCCACACCCGUUCCCAUUCCGAACACGGUCGUUAAGCCCGCCAGGGCCGAUGGUACUGCGUCCGCGAGGACGUGGGAGAGUAGGUCAGCGCCCGGA
RNAcentral lists this ribosomal RNA (117 nucleotides) under Pseudomonadota bacterium. The record is from RNAcentral. RNAcentral also lists the same sequence under 1 other name. Lineage: Bacteria; Pseudomonadati; Pseudomonadota.